UGACCUCGGAUCAGGUAGGGAAUACCCGCUGAACUUUAAGCAUAUCAUAAAGCCGGAAAAAAGAA
This 65-nucleotide ribosomal RNA is filed under the name Circinaria sp. SDNU 20122491. RNAcentral describes it as "partial 26S ribosomal RNA". Lineage: Eukaryota; Fungi; Ascomycota; Lecanoromycetes; Pertusariales; Megasporaceae. The record is from RNAcentral.